UGGGGAAUUUUGGACAAUGGGCGCAAGCCUGAUCCAGCAAUGCCGCGUGCAGGAUGAAGGCCUUCGGGUUGUAAACUGCUUUUGUACGGAACGAAAAGCCUCUCUCUAAUACAGGGGGGUGAUGACGGUACCGUAAGAAUAAGCACCGGCUAACUACGUGCCGGCAGCCGCGGUAAUACGUAGGGUGCAAGCGUUAAUCGGAAUUACUGGGCGUAAAGCGUGCGCAGGCGGUUUUGUAAGACAGUGGUGAAAUCCCCGGGCUCAACCUGGGAACUGCCAUUGUGACUGCAAGGCUGGAGUGCGGCAGAGGGGGAUGGAAUUCCGCGUGUAGCAGUGAAAUGCGUAGAUAUGCGGAGGAACACCGAUGGCGAAGGCAAUCCCCUGGGCCUGCACUGACGCUCAUGCACGAAAGCGUGGGGAGCAAACAGGAUUAGAUACCCUGGUAGUCCACGCCCUAAACGAUGUCAACUGGUUGUUGGGGAUUUAUUUCUUCAGU
This 496-nucleotide ribosomal RNA is filed under the name uncultured bacterium. RNAcentral's name for it is "partial 16S ribosomal RNA". It matches the Rfam family "Bacterial small subunit ribosomal RNA", at positions 355 to 844 of the family's 1533-position model. The record is from RNAcentral.